Molecule: non-coding RNA, 21 nt
Filed under: Arabidopsis thaliana (thale cress)
Lineage: Eukaryota; Viridiplantae; Streptophyta; Magnoliopsida; Brassicales; Brassicaceae
Source: RNAcentral
AUACCCUCUUAAAUACCGUAU